Molecule: ribosomal RNA, 878 nt
Filed under: Talaromyces primulinus
Lineage: Eukaryota; Fungi; Ascomycota; Eurotiomycetes; Eurotiales; Trichocomaceae
Description: LSU rRNA
Rfam family: Eukaryotic large subunit ribosomal RNA
Source: RNAcentral
GCAUAUCAAUAAGCGGAGGAAAAGAAACCAACCGGGAUUGCCUCAGUAACGGCGAGUGAAGCGGCAAGAGCUCAAAUUUGAAAUCUGGCCCCUCUGGGGUCCGAGUUGUAAUUUGCAGAGGAUGCUUCGGGUGCGGUCCCCGUCUAAGUGCCCUGGAACGGGCCGUCAUAGAGGGUGAGAAUCCCGUCUGGGAUGGGCGGCCGCGCCCGUGUGAAGCUCCUUCGACGAGUCGAGUUGUUUGGGAAUGCAGCUCUAAGCGGGUGGUAAAUUUCAUCUAAAGCUAAAUACUGGCCGGAGACCGAUAGCGCACAAGUAGAGUGAUCGAAAGAUGAAAAGCACUUUGAAAAGAGAGUUAAAUAGCACGUGAAAUUGUUGAAAGGGAAGCGUUGUCCACCAGACUCGCCCGGGGGGGCUCAGCCGGCACGUGUGCCGGUGUACUCCUCUCCGGGCGGGCCAGCAUCGGUUUGGGCGGCUGGUGAAAGGCCCCGGGAAUGUACCACCCUCCGGGGUGCCUUAUAGCCCGGGGUGCCAUGCAGCCAGCCUGGACCGAGGCCCGCGCUUCGGCGAGGAUGCUGGCGUAAUGGUGGUCAACGGCCCGUCUUGAAACACGGACCAAGGAGUCUAACAUCUAUGCGAGUGUUCGGGUGUCAAACCCGUCCGCGCAGUGAAAGCGAACGGAGGUGGGAGCCUUUCGGGGCGCACCAUCGACCGAUCCUGAUGUCUUCGGAUGGAUUUGAGUAAGAGCAUAGCUGUUGGGACCCGAAAGAUGGUGAACUAUGCCUGAAUAGGGCGAAGCCAGAGGAAACUCUGGUGGAGGCUCGCAGCGGUUCUGACGUGCAAAUCGAUCGUCAAAUUUGGGUAUAGGGGCGAAAGACUAA